AAGCGGGUGGGAGUCCCGCCUGAGCAGCUCCGAGCCCGAGGCUCAGUAGCGAUUGUUGCAGCGUGCCUGGUAACAGUCACGUUGAAGCGUACACAGAAAGGUAGCGAGGUUGAAAGGUAUCGACUGACUGUCGAACCCUGAACGGUA
Molecule: non-coding RNA, 147 nt
Filed under: Aureliella helgolandensis
Lineage: Bacteria; Pseudomonadati; Planctomycetota; Planctomycetia; Pirellulales; Pirellulaceae
Source: RNAcentral